This 612-nucleotide long non-coding RNA is filed under the name Equus caballus (horse). RNAcentral describes it as "lncRNA (ENSECAG00000043902.1)". The record is from RNAcentral. Lineage: Eukaryota; Metazoa; Chordata; Mammalia; Perissodactyla; Equidae.
AAAUUCAUUAAGUAUAUUUAAAGGAUGUUUAGAACUGAAAAUUAAGUGUGAGCUUUCAUAUAAACAUCUUCAGGAGGCUUCCAGGCAUGAAGUGGGCAGAUGGGGACAGUGAAGUGCUGGUAAAUGUUGAACGAUGGGCUGAGAGUGGAGCAGAGCCCUGACUGGCAGCGUUUGUCAGCUUCCAUGCUGUAAAAUCCUCCCACGAUAGCUGAUUUCAAGCUACCAACAUAAUAUCAACCAGCUCGCACAAUUCCAGAAAUAUAACAACUGGCUCUUGGGAACCACUAUGAGCUGGCUCUGGCACACUCCUGAAUGGAGACCCAAUGCCGGGAAAUGGAUGGAACCACAUACGCAAGAUGUGGAAAUUUGCUGACCCCCGGUGUAGACCCACCAGACCAGGAGCAAAUGCUUUAGUCAGCUAGAGCUUGCAGCACUGGGCUAUCUUCUCCACUCUACAGCCUACACAUGCUGGCCGCCUUUCUCUUCCUACUUCCUGGUGCCCCAUCGUACCUUUUGACGAAGCCAGCCUCGGUUGAUCCAAUGCACUGAUGUCUACAUUUCUGAACAAUGAGCCUGAGUCAUUACAGGAUCAUACAGGGAGUCAGGACGCAG